This 496-nucleotide ribosomal RNA is filed under the name uncultured bacterium. RNAcentral's name for it is "partial 16S ribosomal RNA". It matches the Rfam family "Bacterial small subunit ribosomal RNA", at positions 28 to 523 of the family's 1533-position model. The record is from RNAcentral.
GAUGAACGCUGGCGGCGUACCUAACACAUGCAAGUCGAGCGUGAUUUUUGAGGACGAAACUUCGGUCUAGGAAUCAUAAUGAAAGCGGCGGACGGGUGAGUACGCGUAGGCAACCUGCCCUUGACACAGGGAUAGCCUCGGGAAACCGGGAUUAAAACCUGAUGACGCCAAACAGUCACAUGGCUGUUUGGCCAAAGAUUUAUCGGUCAAGGAUGGGCCUGCGUCUGAUUAGUUAGUUGGUGGGGUAACGGCCUACCAAGACGACGAUCAGUAGCCGACCUGAGAGGGUGAUCGGCCACAUUGGAACUGAGACACGGUCCAAACUCCUACGGGAGGCAGCAGUGGGGAAUAUUGCACAAUGGGCGAAAGCCUGAUGCAGCAACGCCGCGUGAGCGAUGAAGGCCUUUGGGUCGUAAAGCUCUGUCCUUGGGGAAGAAACAAAUGACGGUACCCAAGGAGGAAGCCCCGGCUAACUACGUGCCAGCAGCCGCGGUAA